This 1431-nucleotide ribosomal RNA is filed under the name Lactiplantibacillus plantarum. RNAcentral's name for it is "bacterial SSU rRNA". It matches the Rfam family "Bacterial small subunit ribosomal RNA". The record is from RNAcentral. Lineage: Bacteria; Bacillati; Bacillota; Bacilli; Lactobacillales; Lactobacillaceae.
ACGAACUCUGGUAUUGAUUGGUGCUUGCAUCAUGAUUUACAUUUGAGUGAGUGGCGAACUGGUGAGUAACACGUGGGAAACCUGCCCAGAAGCGGGGGAUAACACCUGGAAACAGAUGCUAAUACCGCAUAACAACUUGGACCGCAUGGUCCGAGCUUGAAAGAUGGCUUCGGCUAUCACUUUUGGAUGGUCCCGCGGCGUAUUAGCUAGAUGGUGGGGUAACGGCUCACCAUGGCAAUGAUACGUAGCCGACCUGAGAGGGUAAUCGGCCACAUUGGGACUGAGACACGGCCCAAACUCCUACGGGAGGCAGCAGUAGGGAAUCUUCCACAAUGGACGAAAGUCUGAUGGAGCAACGCCGCGUGAGUGAAGAAGGGUUUCGGCUCGUAAAACUCUGUUGUUAAAGAAGAACAUAUCUGAGAGUAACUGUUCAGGUAUUGACGGUAUUUAACCAGAAAGCCACGGCUAACUACGUGCCAGCAGCCGCGGUAAUACGUAGGUGGCAAGCGUUGUCCGGAUUUAUUGGGCGUAAAGCGAGCGCAGGCGGUUUUUUAAGUCUGAUGUGAAAGCCUUCGGCUCAACCGAAGAAGUGCAUCGGAAACUGGGAAACUUGAGUGCAGAAGAGGACAGUGGAACUCCAUGUGUAGCGGUGAAAUGCGUAGAUAUAUGGAAGAACACCAGUGGCGAAGGCGGCUGUCUGGUCUGUAACUGACGCUGAGGCUCGAAAGUAUGGGUAGCAAACAGGAUUAGAUACCCUGGUAGUCCAUACCGUAAACGAUGAAUGCUAAGUGUUGGAGGGUUUCCGCCCUUCAGUGCUGCAGCUAACGCAUUAAGCAUUCCGCCUGGGGAGUACGGCCGCAAGGCUGAAACUCAAAGGAAUUGACGGGGGCCCGCACAAGCGGUGGAGCAUGUGGUUUAAUUCGAAGCUACGCGAAGAACCUUACCAGGUCUUGACAUACUAUGCAAAUCUAAGAGAUUAGACGUUCCCUUCGGGGACAUGGAUACAGGUGGUGCAUGGUUGUCGUCAGCUCGUGUCGUGAGAUGUUGGGUUAAGUCCCGCAACGAGCGCAACCCUUAUUAUCAGUUGCCAGCAUUAAGUUGGGCACUCUGGUGAGACUGCCGGUGACAAACCGGAGGAAGGUGGGGAUGACGUCAAAUCAUCAUGCCCCUUAUGACCUGGGCUACACACGUGCUACAAUGGAUGGUACAACGAGUUGCGAACUCGCGAGAGUAAGCUAAUCUCUUAAAGCCAUUCUCAGUUCGGAUUGUAGGCUGCAACUCGCCUACAUGAAGUCGGAAUCGCUAGUAAUCGCGGAUCAGCAUGCCGCGGUGAAUACGUUCCCGGGCCUUGUACACACCGCCCGUCACACCAUGAGAGUUUGUAACACCCAAAGUCGGUGGGGUAACCUUUUAGGAACCAGCCGCCUAAGG